GAUGAACGCUGGCGGCGUGCCUAAUACAUGCAAGUCGAGCGAACAGACGAGGAGCUUGCUCCUCUGACGUUAGCGGCGGACGGGUGAGUAACACGUGGAUAACCUACCUAUAAGACUGGGAUAACUUCGGGAAACCGGAGCUAAUACCGGAUAAUAUAUUGAACCGCAUGGUUCAAUAGUGAAAGACGGUUUUGCUGUCACUUAUAGAUGGAUCCGCGCCGCAUUAGCUAGUUGGUAAGGUAACGGCUUACCAAGGCGACGAUGCGUAGCCGACCUGAGAGGGUGAUCGGCCACACUGGAACUGAGACACGGUCCAGACUCCUACGGGAGGCAGCAGUAGGGAAUCUUCCGCAAUGGGCGAAAGCCUUACGGAGCAACGCCGCGUGAGUGAUGAAGGUCUUCGGAUCGUAAAACUCUGUUAUUAGGGAAGAACAAAUGUGUAAGUAACUAUGCACGUCUUGACGGUACCUAAUCAGAAAGCCACGGCUAACUACGUG
This 497-nucleotide ribosomal RNA is filed under the name uncultured bacterium. Its description in RNAcentral is "partial 16S ribosomal RNA". It matches the Rfam family "Bacterial small subunit ribosomal RNA", at positions 28 to 507 of the family's 1533-position model. The record is from RNAcentral.